Non-coding RNA from Schizosaccharomyces pombe (fission yeast), 877 nucleotides. Lineage: Eukaryota; Fungi; Ascomycota; Schizosaccharomycetes; Schizosaccharomycetales; Schizosaccharomycetaceae. The record is from the annotation of a GenBank genome assembly.
CGAUUUUCUGUAAACUGGAGAUUAGACAAAGGAACAUUAAUGGGUUCAACUAAUGUUUUUAAACACUGGCCACUGAGAACAUCCCAAAUUCGUGCCAUUCCAUCAUAACUAGCAGUCGCACAUAAAGUUCCGUCAGCUGAUAUAGAAACAGAUAUAAUAGGUUCUGAAUGUGCAGGUAGCAUCCUAAGGCAAGUUCCAUCUUGAAGAUUCCAUAUACGGACAGUCUCAUCCCAUGAUCCUGACACCAAAAGCGUGCCCAAUGGAUUAAAGUCAAUUGAUGAAACGUAAUUUGUAUGACCUUUUAAACAUCUCACACUGCACCGUUUUUCAAAAUCCCAAAUCCUUAUGGUCUUAUCGUCAGAAGCGCUAGCUAGAUACUUACUACCAGUUGCCCAUUUUACUUGAGAUAUUCCUCGGUAGUGGCCGAAAAGUGUACAUUCAAGUCGAAACGUAAGUGCGCUCCAAAUCUUUAUAGUUCCAUCGGAUGAAGAGGUAGCGAUCCAUCGUUUGUUAGGGGAAACGCUGACACAUGUAACACUUUUCUCAUGACCGAAAAGAGUACAAUAUUCAGAGAAUCCUGAAUGUGAUUCAUAAUUGCGAAUGCGCUUAUGUAUUUGCUCCUCAUCUUCCUCUACAACACCUUUCUGGUCUUUUUGUACUUGCAGGUCGUGGUUCAAAGGAAAUUGUUGAGCUGUGGAAUCCAUCUUCUAAUAUACGAUAUGUGAAAAAUUAUCAGACCGAUUGUUUGUACUUCUCGUAAAAAUGGACUAAAGACAAAAAUCGUAUCAGGAAGUAUUAAAAGGUUUAUUGAAUGAUCUCAACAAUCAUAAACAAACGCCUUUGUCUGAUAGUAAAAUCGAUCAAUUUAUUUCCUCUU